AAGAACAUUAUGAUGAAAAUAAUGGACCAUGAAAGAUAUUAACUAAUAGUUAUGUCUAUAAAAUUAUUCGUAAAUAUGUUUAUUCUUUACGUAAUAAACAUAUGGGAGAAAAUAAAUAAUAUAAUGAAACUCAAGAUGGUGACGCAGACGGUGACGUUUGACAGCCGUUAGAUAAGAAAGACGCGUCAGGAGUUUUUGGCCAGACGACAAUAGCAGAGAAAAAAGAUCAGCAAAAGAACAUGACCACAUGGAUUUUCCAUCUGCUGAAGGAGCCCUCAUCACAAUUGCCUUCUUGACAUUCUCUUUAUUCUUGACCAAACUGGUUCUGCAAGUGAUAAAUGUGCUAAAAGCAAAAGCUUAUAACACUAAUCCUGGUUCAACAUUUCAAAUGGGGUUUAUAACAGCUAACAGAAUUAAGGAAGGAAAAAAUGCAAGAAAAUUGUCAUUUUCCGAUAUGCACAAAUAUGAACAUUUGCUCAGGUCAAUAUCAGCACCAUGAUUUUAACAUUACUUCAGAAUAACAUAUAAUAACAGAAAAUUGGCAGAAAAUUGACACCCACGUCUUGGUCACUAUUUACUAUCAUACAAUUAAUUAAAUUUUAAUCAUUAAACUCUGUUAAUAACAAUGUAGCCGA
This is a long non-coding RNA of Ctenocephalides felis (cat flea), 635 nucleotides long. RefSeq lists it as uncharacterized. NCBI's taxonomy places the organism in Eukaryota, Metazoa, Arthropoda, Insecta, Siphonaptera, Pulicidae. The record is from RefSeq and is a predicted model, not a curated record. The transcript is spliced from 4 exons.